GAAAGCAACAUGGCGUACGAGUAAAGGUGUGAAAAUGUGGACAAAAUGUUGUCGAAUUUAUACCUGAUAUAUCACCCUGAGUAGGGAAUCCAUUCACAAAAGGAAUGGCACACAUAAGAAGAGAGAAGCAGGACUUGAAGAUAUUUUGCAUGAUAUUCUUAUCCUUGGUGGGUGAUUACUGUCUUCAGUACUGAUUGACUGGAUCUUGAUGGUGCUGCAUCAUCUGACAAGUCUUUGCAGCACAACAGCUUGGUAUAACUGAAUAUAACAGAUUUGGUGUAACUGCAGAGAAAACAGAAGAAUAUGAUCAAAAACCGAUCUCAUGUUUGCAACUUGUCAAAGCAUAAAAAUAGUGAUAAGUUAUGUGUUUAAAGUGUCAAAGAUUCUGAUUCCUCAGAAAUACAACAGCAAUACACAAGGUAUAGUUCAGGUUACAUAGUAGGGUUGUACUCUAACUAGACUGUCAAUAGUCUCUGUUUUUACUUUGUCAUUCUUCAUAUUUUAAGGGGAUAAAUGAAUUGGAAUAGACCCUCUAGUUUCGUUUUGCAUAAACUACCUAGCCCCCUCCCCCUGGGGAUAUUAAAGGCUACCAAUCCUUGUUCAGCCAAGUUAACCACAGCAAACAGUGACAAGGGGAAAUGGAGGGAUUGCUUUCAGUCUGUACACUUACAUAUCUAAUAGCUCAACUUACUUGUCUGUCAUGUAUACUGGCCAAAGCUACACAGCAUCACAAGAUACUUGACUGUAAUGGCUGGUAAGCUGAGGGGAAAAAGAAGACUUUUUUUGAAACAUAAAUUAUACAUUUUUUUGCAAUGUUUUUGGAAGGUAUGAAUUGGAUAUUGCAUAAUAUGGCACUUUUAACCACUGCAUACAACUAGCACACAUAUUCUAACAUCUUUCGUUCACCAUUUAAUAUAAUUACAUGGACAACACAUAGCUCAACUUACUUGUUUGUUGCACUAGAAUGGCCUGCAAGAAGUUGACAGCAUCAUAACACUUGGACUUAUCUGUAAUGGCUGACAAGCUGAAAAUAGGAUGAGAUAACAAUUUAGGAACAGGUAUGAAUUAUAUAGAUUGGCUUUACAAAUUUUUAAGAUAAAGUACUGUACACUGAUGUACCCUACUAAACUACAACUUGAUACACAUAUUUUUAUAGAGCGUUUUCACAUGACAUCACAGCGACCAUUAUGGGGUACCAAAACAAUACAUUUUCUAUCCUCCGGGAAUUUAACUCUAUUUUUAUGCAAAUACUGCGUAGAAAGUUUCUAUUGUUUAUGGCUGCCUUGUCACAUGAGUGAAAAUGCUCUAUGGCACUAAACAUAAAGUUUACUGUACAAUGCUAUAUUAUGCUGCAGGGCUUGAAAAUAACGGCCAGACGUCAGACAAUGUCCGGCCAGAACGGGACUUGUCCAGUCAAAUAUAAUUGCCUCACAAGUCGUUUUGACCAGUAAGGUUUGCCAGAAUGAGGUAUGACUGAGCUAUUUACUUCAAUAUCCAUAUAGCAACAAGGUGAGUCCACAUUCUUAUGAAGGUCACAGGGUCAUCACCAGGUUACCACAUCAUUAAUUAGGUCAAUACUCAUAAAUUAACAAGGUGAGUCCAUAUUGCUAUCAAAGUCUUUUUCUUUUGUUUUAAUGCAGUUAAUCCAUUAUUACAAGAUAGAUAYUGGACUAUUCCAUGAUAAGCUUGCUGGUUGGUGUGUAUAUAUAUUGGCUAUCAGCCUCAGAUGUCAGGUAUGAACAGCCGCCAUCUUGUUCAAGCUCACUGGAAAGUUUUAUGGAGUAUUUUUCGUGUAAUCAGUAUUUCUAUAGCUGCAAUACAAAAACAUAAGUCAUUGAGACAUUAAUAUUUCGGAUUUUGGUGGUUCUAAUGAGGUAGGAAUGUCUUGAAACUUACACGAACCAAGUUCCGUGUAACAUUCAAACCCAAAGUUUCAAAAAAUGUUAAAAUAUGAAAAUAUUCUUAAGGUAAGUUUACAUACUGUUUGAAAACUUCAUGAAACAUUGUUAUUUGUUAUCAAUUUUAUCAUUUCUUUUCAGAAAAGGUGGAUUUUUCAGGUUUCAAAGUUAGCACGUGUCAUGGCGGACGAAGCCGAUGAAACGAACAUUCGAAGUUUUUUAAACUGGUCAAAAAUACAGAAAAACGAAAGAAAAACGCAGAAAAAACGAAAUAACUCUUACCUUUCAUAGUUCUCGUGUGCUUCUCUCUCUGUUAGGUCAAGCACGAGCUAAUAACCAUCUUUGUUCUUGUACAAUUUCAGCCUAAAAGCCCAUCGUGUUUUGCACCCGUUGAAACACAUCCACAACGAACAGCAGCGUGCAACAAAUGAAGAGGUGACAUGCACAGGGACUGGAUACUAGCAUUUUACACAGGGAUCCCGCAAAAACCGGACUUUUUGGCGAGAAAAUAACGAAAAUUAAACGGUUUUUGGUCAUUAUUUUUUGCCGAACACGUAARAAAUAAGUAGAGAAGGCUGUUUUAGCACUCUACGGAGGGUAAAACCCUGGGAAAAUGCCUGUUUUAAGCAAAAAAUAAAAAUAUGCUAAUUAGUCACGUGACAAGUCACGUGACCCAAUAUUUUUCAUUUUUURGGUCAGUUUUUCAAUUUUUUGAUCUUGGAAAAAAUAAAUUGGUAGGGUUAAGUUAAUUUCAUUUCCUUUUAUUAUCUAUUCAAUGAAGCGGUUUAUAAUAAAAGACCAUUGAACCUU
Long non-coding RNA from Actinia tenebrosa (Australian red waratah sea anemone), 2708 nucleotides. RefSeq lists it as uncharacterized. The record is from RefSeq and is a predicted model, not a curated record. Lineage: Eukaryota; Metazoa; Cnidaria; Anthozoa; Actiniaria; Actiniidae.